AGGGACAGACGCCAUCUUGGGGAGGUCACAGCUGCGCUCCCCGUUACCUCAGAGCCCCCUCAGUGCCUCUUAUUUUAUUCCUGUGAAAAAUAAACAUUUUGGAUCACUGCCCGGCGACGUUUUCCUCGCCUCAGCCACCGCACAGCGCCCUGGGGGUGUCGGGGUGGGGGAAGCUGCGUUGCUGAGGGGAUUUGGAUUUGUAGAAAGGAGGCGACAGUCAGGCAAAGCUUACGUGGGACCUCACAGUUUAUUGUGUGACAUUUGGGGUUCAGAGCUGUGGUGGGGUCGUGGGUUUGUGACAGGGGACAUCUGAGGGCUUCCAGUGGUAACCUGAAGUGUGAAGGAGGGAGAAUUAAGAUGCAGAGGGGAAAAGGUGAGGGAAAUAAUAAAAGUAGGGCUAAAACUGAUUAAUAGGAGGGAUUUUAAGGAGGGAUUUCAGAAUGAAGCUGUCAGGAUGAGAUGUUUUCCUCACAGCUGAAGGAUGGGUGCGAGGAAGGAGGAGAGUCUGAAAAACAGAGGAAGGAGGCAAAGGAAAUAACAAAAAUAGGGAUACAUCUGUUUUAUAAGGAGGGGUUUUAAGAAAGGAUCACUUAAAUGCAAUGAAGACGUCAAGUGUGAAGUGUUUUCCUCACAUCUAAAGGAUGUUGUGGAUGAGUGCUUCCAAUGGGAGGUGUAAGGGAGGAGGAUUUGAAAUACAGAGAAAAAAGGAGGUGAGGAAAUAAUAAAAAUAGGUACAAAUCCAUUUUAUAGGGAGGGUUUUAAGAAAAGAUCACUUAAAUGCACUGAAGACAUCAAGUAUGAAGUGUUUUCCUCACAUCUAAAGCAUGGUGAGGAUGAGUGCUUCCAAUGGGAAGUAUAAGGGAGGAGGACUUGAAAUACAGAGGAAAAAGGAGAGGAAGGAAAUAACAAAUAGGUUUAAUUCUGAUUAAUAGGAGGGAUUUUAAGAAGGGAUUUCAGACUGAAGCUGUCAGGUUUGAGAUGUUUUCCUCAUGGCUCAAGAAUGGGUGCGAGGAGGGAGGUUAACAGGAGCUUGUUUGCAGCUGGAAACAGUAAUCAUAGUUUUACAGUAAUCAUAGUUUUAUUUCUGUUGGCAUAAAAUGUAUGUGUAUAUAUAUGCAUAUAUAUAUGUGUGUGUGUGAUAUUUAUUUUUUAUUUUUUAAAUUUCAGGAUACCAUCUGUGCCUGGUAGAAACCUCUUCUGUGGGUAUAUCAGAGUUAUACAAACACUGUUGUUAUCCUAAUAUCCACUCCUGGUGGUUUACAACUUCCCUUAGAACCAUAGAAUCAUUCAGGUUGGAAAAGACCUCUGACAUCACCAAGUCCAACCCCUGCUCAUCCCCAUCAUGCCCACUGAACCACAACCCUCAGUGCUACAUCUCCACAUUACUGAACACCUCCAGGGACAGUGACCCCACUGGGUACCCAUUCCAGUGCCUGACCACUCUAUGAGAAGCCAUUUUUCCUAGUAUCCAGUGCCAGUCUCAGUGAAAUGGGAGGCAUCUUAACAUGCUGACCAUCUCGCAGCCCUCUAUGCAUUUUAUGAACUGAGAAAUGUAGGAGUAACUUCAUCCCAUCGAUGGAAUGAAACACAGCCACCAUUUUUUUUUUUCUGUUAACAGAUGGAAUAAAGCUGUAAAUGGCCUCCAAGGGCAGGCAUUUAUGACCACACUGCAUCCAUCAGAAGAUGGAAGAAUAUGGGAAGUGUGGUAAGAAGAACUGCAGAGCCAGCCGAGUCAAUUGGCAUGCGUGUCAGGUCAGCUCAGGAUCAAAUGUCCACUCUGCAGAGUCACACUCCAUUUGUUGCCUCUGCAGUGCCCCUGCAUUUCUUUGGGAGCUUUGCAGCCUCAUGCACACUCUCACAGCAUGUUGAGGAGAAAAAAAAAAAACACCUCUGCUUUUUGCAUGAAUGUCAUCUUAGCUCCUAGACUCAGGGACUCUGAGUUUGAGAUGCUCUGGGUUUCUGCUAUUGGUCUUCUGUGAGUACCAAGUGUGGAUCAGGGCCAGGUGGUGACAUGCCAGUUGCUGUGAUGAGAGAAUGACCUGGUGGGGCUUGCUGCUCCUGGAAGCAGGGUGAAGCUUUGCCAGCACAUUCAGACGUGUGGAGGCAGCUGAUGGGGACUAAUAGCUGUGGAAUUCCCUUGUGCUAAUCAGCAGCUUUGGAACAGGGCCACGAGCACAAAGAGUUGGGUCUGUGCCACCCGAGCGGCGCAGUAUAACCCAACAGAACCUCCACAGGAUGAAGGUCACUUUCUGGUACAUCAGAGGGAGGCAGACUCACGUGAUCCACCAAGAAAUUUUCAUAGUGCUGGGCGUGGUAACACUGCAAUAGCUUCAGGAGGCUCUGGAGGUACCCGCAGUGGAGGUUUUAAAGACAGAUUAGUCAAAUACUGCUCAGGAAUGCUGCAGGUAGAGUUGUUCGUGCUUCAGGGAGAGGGAUGGCUGACAUAAGGUCCCAUCCAACUGCAUAUUUCAGCCACGUGUCACUAAUUGGUUUGGAAUAGGCAGAUGAAGCUAUGAGCUGUUGAUAGAGCAUGUUUACAAAGCAGUGGCUUGGGCUGGGCCUAACACGUGCCCUUUUUUUUCUCCACCCCUCUCAAGGAGUUCUUAUCUGAAGACUUGCAGAUGGGACCCAAGCCUCUCGAUGAGGAAGGGCAUGGACAUUCAUUUGGAAUGCACCAGGCAGGUCCUCAAGAAAUAGAAUUUCCCAGAGUAAACAAACUAACUCUUUUUACAGAAUUGAAUGUCAGUGCAUUUCCCCAGGUUCUCAUGGCCACCCUUGUGUCAUAGACUCACACACCUGUUGUAGUAGGCGUAGUAGUUUCCCAUGGGAAAAAGAGGUGCCAAAAGGUUAACUGUGAGUCCAAAUGGAUGUUUUGCCAACAGAAGGGUAGGGAACAUAGCUUGCACACCUGUGGGAGCGUCAGGGUUGGUUAGGACAUGACAAAUCCAGCAUCCAGGAGGACAGGGAGGAGAUUAGCAGGGCGAAGGCAAACAAUGCGUGGUGGAAAAGGUGAGUUCUGGUGACAGAGUGGGUCCAGAAAAGCUUAGAUGUCCACAUCUUUGGCCUGGAAAGAGAAUGUGGAAGGGAUAAUGUGCCAGAGUAGCCAGUGAGCAAAUACAAACCAAACAGCAGCCUCCAGUAAUGGAGGGAGUGGCUGUGGGAGUGCAGCUGUGUCACAAUCAGAAGGUUUGCAAGUGAGAAAAAGUUCUGUGGACUUUUAGGGACCACAAAGAAAGAUGAUUCCAUAAGGGGAUGAGGCGCAUGAUGAUUGAGCAGAGGAAACUGAGUAGUUUAAACAUUCAUUUUAAACAUAGGGGAAUGCUACAGACACAUCUGUUUCCAGAUUAAAAACAAAAACAUCCAUUACUUUCCUUUAACACAAGUCUUUGCAACAGUGAUUGUUCAGUAACGUGCAAUAAAAUAGAUUUGCAGGGCACGUAAAGAGCCAGACUUGUUUUCAUUACUUUAGGGAGGAUGUUGAUAGCGUGAUGAGUUUGUUAGAAGUAGUCUUGAUUGGGUUCUGGCUGCUGCAGCUCCUCUGGAGCCAGAUUAGACCAAAGCUGAGUCAGGAUUUGGGGAGAAUUUCUGUGAUGAAAGGCUGUUAUGGUUUGUGCUGUCACCAAAAUCCACACAGGUGCAGUAAUUCUGGAGAGCUGCUGCUGUUGGAUGAAGGAUUCCUGCAGCAUCAUCCAGAGCCUGAUCUUUACCCUCAGUUCUCCAGCACGGUGUGAAGAUCCAGGAGCAGCCCAGAUUGAGGCUGAAACCACUGUUUUGGUGGUGAUUCCACAACAAAAUGGGGUCUGAAUGUGCAGCAGUACAACUGAUACACGGCUACUCUUGGGGACAGCAGCUUUACACUCAUGGUUCCCCUCUUUCAGCAUCCAGUAACCAGUCUGGCUUUUGGUCUUGCCCUGCAUCAACUUGCCUUUUCACUUCACUUCUUCUCACAAUCAGUGAUUACUUUUUGUUCUGCCAGUACCCAGAUGAGUGUGAUUCUCUGAUCUCUAUGAAACAGCAGUAAUAGUAACAACUACCUGGAGAGUGGCACGGACGAACACACUUAGGCCUUUCAGUGCCUUUUCCUUGCUGCUCAGCACCAAACUGCAGCAGAUCUUACAGCCAAAAUAGUUCAUGAAGAGACAGAGAUGAGGCACUAAAGAAGGAAGAAAUGCUCUAGGAACUCUGUUGGCAGGAAGGCUUUUCUCUCCCAUCUCCACAUUCUGCCCUAAGCUUAUUUUUAUAAAUACAUUGAUGAAGGCUUUUUUCUUAGUCACUUCUUAGAACAGGAGCUGCUUCCUUGUAACUCAUUGUGGGACAGAGCAGCAGUGCUGUGGUGAGCUUGGGAGCCCAGCCCCAUGGUGGAAGCUCAUUAGAUCCUCCUAAUGCUGGCUAUGGCACAUGAUGCUUCUGAAUAACUUGCUGCCUUUUGUACAGGGCUGCAAGUCUGCUCUUUGUAAGAUGCUUCCUCAUGUCCUAUCUGCCUUUCUUAGGUUAAUAGUUUCCCCAAGCAGUCACUGAAGACUGAUGGCACAAUGUUGGAUUUGCUUUUCUUCAUUACUCAAGGCAAUUUUGCCUAAGCUACACAACAGGCAAGGCGAUUUCCCCUUGGCUGGACUAGCUGUCUGCACACAAUUACACUUCUCUAUUAUUAGUGAGAGUGAGCUGGGCUGAGUUUACAACUGUGCAGGAGAGAUAAGCUCAAGACGACUGUGCUUCCUCUCCAAGGGGCUGCUGAGCUGCAUUCAGCUCUGCGUCUGAGACACCGCCGUCCUGAAAUGGGGAGGAAUUCUUGUCCUCUGAAUGGGGAUGCCCAAAAAGAGCAGGCUGGGUGUGUUUCUUUUAAUGGAAGAUUAGACAGAGAAUCACAUGAUUUUACCCUCUUUACCCAAGACACUGGAGUCACAGGAGCUUUCUGAUACCCAUUUUUAUGUCAGAACAAUCACAUCCUGAACACCUUUUACUAAAUGAACUAAACAAUCUAUACAACUAGUCCAAGCACAGAUGCAGAUGCAUAGAUUUAUGGGAGAUUAAUGCCAUGAGUCUCAGUUUUUAUGGCUCUCACAUUUAGCAACACGCGAGGAGAAGAACUGCAUGUCAGAAGUGCUAAUUGUUACCUUCCCAUGCUGAUGAUAGUGCACUUUCUUAACCGAAAGAGAUGAAAUGAAGGAAUGCUGGGGGAAGGGAGAUGUAACAAGUGUGAGGAAUCAAAGCAUCUGCACUUAGAAGAAAACAGAGCUACUCCUUGGACAUUUUCCAAGGGCACGCUGUAAUUAACAGGUACUCCCAAGAUGCCCGUCUUCAAAAGGUGCCAAAAUUCCUCGAUAAGUUAUCUCAGGAGCCAAAACAACAGGUGAGAGAAGGACUGUUGCUUUCAAGGACGCCACUUCAGGUCACACCAUUCAGAUGAGCUGGGUACUGUGGAACGCUCGAUAGUUAUUAUUGGAUUAAGGCAGAGCCUCAUGCUAAUAAAGCUGCAGUAUGCCCCAAAAGAGGAUGUCUGCUUGAGCAUUGCUUAUCCUGAAGAACAGAAGCACAGGGUGAGAUUACACAAAAUUAAGAUCAUGAGAGGAGGCAAUGUUAUCAACAGUAUUAAAAGAAAUAGUAAUUUCAUAAUUUCAUAAGUAAUUUCAUUUUCUUCCAUUCCUGCAAGUCACGUCAGAAGCUUUAAACCAACGAUGCCUCUCUUUAUCAAGCCCUCUUAUGAAGCAAGGACAGGAAACUACCAGAAUCCUCAAAAGCAAAUGACACAGAAAAGGAGUUUUCUCCAUAGUGCCAAUUACAACAAGAAGACGGUUUGAACUCCCGAAUUCACUGAAUGCCUCCAGAAAACCACCAGUAACUGGGUAACACACUAGGAUGCAACGAGAACACCCCAGCAUCUGGAAUGGAAAGCUUCAAUACCUGCAAGCGUAAUGAUACCCAGACAGCACAUCUGAGAGAGCAACCACUGUUCCUGUGUCAGUUCAGGACACAUCCUCUCUUGUCCUGCUGCAUCCUUCCAGUCGGUGUGCUGGAAGAAUCUGGGAGAGAUGCACAGACUCACUUGACAUACUGCUUCACCAAGGACUGCCUUAAACUGACACAGAGGAAAUGGAGCGAAGCGACUCUGAUCUGUAACAUAAAUCUUGUGGUUUCCAGCCAGGAUGUUCGGACUAACAGUGAUUACGCUUUUUUUUGGCAACACUUGGGCAGAUGAGAGUUCCUAACAGUGUCCCAUUGAUCCCAUACCACCCAGUGUGACAACUGGACUCUGAAGUAUCCAGAUAUCUAUGCUUGCGUGGCGUUUGCCAUCGCCUACGAGCAACCAGAUUUGGCUCUUUCGAAAAGAGGGAAAGCUGAGCCCGGCCAAGUGGAGAAGUGAGACCAGGGAAUGCUGGAAAUAACAACAGGGUCACCACUCGACACCACAGCAGCCCCAGAGCCCGCGUCAAGGAGGAAGGAUGGUUUGAAAGGAAGUUUGGAAACAGAAUGGAAACUGUCAGAUUUAUUUGCCCUGAAGAGAAAGGGAUUGAGUUCAGGAAGGAUGAGAGGAAAUGAGGCUAAAACUGGAAGGAGAAGAAUCUUCAGGCAGUGAAGAAGACAACUUGCAAACAGCCAAACUUUCUGCAGCCACCUGCAGGCUGAAGAAAAAGCUCUGCAUGCAGUUUGCAACAGAAACUGAGCACGCAGCCAUUCCUGGAACCAACAGUUGUGUUCGGGGGAGAUGAAAACCCUCACUGUGAAUGGGGGGAAUUUCCAACUGCUGUCUGCUGGUGGUUGGUGAAGCACAAUGUCAAGAUGGAAUAUUUUCUAGCACUGCUGGAGAAGCAGCACCUUGGGCUCAGAAGUGCUGCAGAGUGGUGUUUGAAGCACGUCAUCGUGACUGAACAAAU
Molecule: RNA transcript, 6872 nt
Organism: Gallus gallus (chicken)
Lineage: Eukaryota; Metazoa; Chordata; Aves; Galliformes; Phasianidae
Exons: 8
Source: RefSeq, a predicted model, not a curated record